AUUGAACGCUGGCGGCAGGCCUAACACAUGCAAGUCGAGCGGAUGAAGGGAGCUUGCUCCUGGAUUCAGCGGCGGACGGGUGAGUAAUGCCUAGGAAUCUGCCUGGUAGUGGGGGAUAACGUCCGGAAACGGGCGCUAAUACCGCAUACGUCCUGAGGGAGAAAGUGGGGGAUCUUCGGACCUCACGCUAUCAGAUGAGCCUAGGUCGGAUUAGCUAGUUGGUGGGGUAAAGGCCUACCAAGGCGACGAUCCGUAACUGGUCUGAGAGGAUGAUCAGUCACACUGGAACUGAGACACGGUCCAGACUCCUACGGGAGGCAGCAGUGGGGAAUAUUGGACAAUGGGCGAAAGCCUGAUCCAGCCAUGCCGCGUGUGUGAAGAAGGUCUUCGGAUUGUAAAGCACUUUAAGUUGGGAGGAAGGGCAGUAAGUUAAUACCUUGCUGUUUUGACGUUACCAACAGAAUAAGCACCGGCUUACUUCGUG
RNAcentral lists this ribosomal RNA (484 nucleotides) under uncultured bacterium. Its description in RNAcentral is "partial 16S ribosomal RNA". It matches the Rfam family "Bacterial small subunit ribosomal RNA", at positions 30 to 507 of the family's 1533-position model. The record is from RNAcentral.